GCAUUGGAGCAGAGGUGUUUGCCGAGAUCUGGACUGUAGGGAGCAUGGCUAGUAAAACCUCAGGAGGAAGAGAACUGGGCAAAGCAGAGAUUUGCACCGUCUUAGCCGCCCUCUGAUCGUCCCACGUGGUUGCACACGGCGUGGGUACCCGGAAAUAAUCCUUUGCUGGAGUAAGUUUCCCCACCUGGUGUUGGUUAGGGUUUUGUACUCUGUCUCUUCCUGUCUGCAGUCAUUUCAUCAUCAUACUCUUAUUAUCUUGUCACCAGACUCUUACCUUUUUCUCUCCCCCCCCCCCCCCNNNNNNNNNNNCCCCCCCCCCCCGCAAUAGCGGUGCAGACCCGGGACGCUGCCUGGUACCAGCUGCUCACCGCCCCGCUCAGCGAGGACCAGAGGCGGGCGCUGCAAGAGGUGUACACCCUGGCCGAGCACCGGAGGACAGUCGCAGAGGCAAAGAAGAAGAUUGAACAACAGGGAGGCUUCACGUUUGAAAACAAAGGAGUCCUCUCCGCAUUUAACUUUGGGACUGUGCCCAGCAACAACUGAAAGAGGGAACGUCAGCCUACCAAAUGUCAUCGCUACACUUUACUUCACCAGGGGACUGGGAAGCUCAAGGGGAGGAGAAGAGUGGGCUGCUCUUCGGCCCCCUCCUGCUGUGCCAGUUCGCUCUGGCUUCAGGCAGCACUUCUAUCCACUCCCGCUUCCCCUUUGACCUUUCUCCCCCACGAAAUAUAUAUUCCACGCAGCUACUGUAAUGUAUGAAAUUCAAGGAAAACAAAAUCAGUGGACUGAAAAGGACAAAUCAUAUUCUCCAAAGGAUGAAUGACCAAGGUGGUUUUAGAGGAUUGAAUUGAAAUGCACGUCUCAGGUUUUUGCCAUGCAGAAUCAAUGGAUUUAUGCGGAUAACAGUGCCUUCUGUUGUACAUGAAUUAUCUGAAAAUUUUUUUGGAGUGCAUUGCAAUUUUUUUUAAAGCAUAAAACAUAUUUCUAGAUAUAAUGUAACCUUGGCUAUAUGUUGACUUAUUCUGCGUUUUACUAUGUGAAUUUACUGUUAGGCAGUUAGCUACAAGUCACGCUGGUUUCAAAAACAUCCCUGCUCCCCUCGCUCACCCUGUUGCUGGGGGCUGUCUUCAGGGGUUGUAAGAUAUGCACUGGCUCUGGUUUUUCAUCAGAUGUUUUGUGGCUUUCCUAAUAAGUGUCUUAUUCUCUCUUCCAUCAUAUUUUUGAGCCCUGAAAGAGGUGGUAUUUCUUUUGGAGCCAGCAAAUAGGAGUAUAAAUUUCAUUUAUAACCUGGUAAGUUCCAGACUCAAAAGUUUCUUGACAGCAAGUGGCAGGAGCUCUUUAGUCACUGGAAUUAACAAUAAGAGACCGAGAGUAUAUUCUGAAUCAUGUACUUAAUUAUGUAAUGAAUUGAUAAUUAUACUAAAGCACAUUGAACUCUUAUGAGAAGGGUGCUAUAUAAGCACGUGGUCUUUCUGGAUGGGGGCUUGCAUUUUCAACAACAUAUCAUUCCAGCUAUGUUGGACCUGGGUCCAAAACAUUUUCUAACAAAAUUUUUUAUCUAGGAUAAGGACCCAAAUGAAUUUAACUUCUAUUUCUCACACAUCUGAAUUUCCCCCUACCUAAUUCAUUCUAGCCUUUACUAUAGCUAAGUUCAGCUUGUUAUAUUUUUCACAGGUUGGGAUGUUGGUCAGCUGCACUCUUAGAUGGUAAUGAUACCUAUAGGAAAUAUUGCAGAUGGAGGUUCUGGCUCUUUUUCUGAACAAAUUCAAGACUAAAACAUGGAUCAUAGUGUUUUCAUACAGUAAAGUGAAAGUGUAUUUUCAAAACCUAAUGUAUUACUGGAUACGAUACAGUUUUCCAUUUUUGUGAAAUGUCUGCAGCUUAUAUUUCCCCUUAGUGACUGGAGGAAUUUUCUCCAGGUGCUUCCUAUAUUGCCAUCCCUUGUUAAUAUUAACUCUUUUUAGAAGUUUAGGUUAUUUAAAUAGUUUUUACAGAAGUAGCCUAAGAAGCCAUGAGUUUCAGAGUUAAAUGAUCCCUCACUUUCCUCUGUCCCUCUUCCCAAGGCAUUGAUGUUGAAUGUGCCAGCUGGCAGAAGAGAAAGAUGGCACUGGGGGACAUUUUAGUUAUCUUAAGCUUUGAAACUCUUCUUAUUCUCCCCAUGUCCAAAAUGGUUUAUUUUAACAUAAAUAAUAUGCCUUCACACUGGAUUGUAAAAGGCAUGUGAUUUUAUUUUUGUGAGGUAUUGUCUUCUGCAGUAUUAAAGGGAAAGAGAUGUUAAUGUGUAUCAUCCUAUCUUGUUUUUGAAGCCAGGGUAGUUGUAUAAUUUUGUUACCAGCAGUGCUAACCUGAAUGUGAUCUGGUUACCUUGGAAAUGCAGGAACUUAUAUGAAUGUACUGUAAAAUAAAACACGGACUGAUUCCCA
Molecule: long non-coding RNA, 2423 nt
Filed under: Ursus americanus (American black bear)
Lineage: Eukaryota; Metazoa; Chordata; Mammalia; Carnivora; Ursidae
Description: lncRNA (ENSUAMG00000019792.1)
Source: RNAcentral